UAUGGCCUGAAAAGUUCUUGUUCAAUUUCAACUUGAGAUGUUAUCCUGCAUCUUACUUUUUUCUUGUUAUUACUUAUUAGGCAUUAUUGAACCGGUUUCUAUAAAAUCUCAAAGGUAGUUCCAAUGUGUUAAUUGGGCAGUGAUGUUCUUACUUUACGAGGAUUAGAAAAAUAUAAAGACAUUGUCCAUUUUUGUUGAGCAAGUUCUCCACAAGGACCCCAACCUCCUUUGCAGCCCGUUCCGUCUAUUCAAGAUUAGCGAAUGUUUCAAACAGCUGCUCUUGUAGAUUUUCUUAAAACAUAUGUAAGGUGUUUUCUGUGAAAGUAGCUUAAUCACCAAUUAUCACCAAGUUUUGUGCUGGAAUGCUUUUUUUAUAUGUUGCCCCUUAAGAAAGGGAAAUGUAACUUUUAAAAUGCAAUUUCUUCAUUCA
This is a long non-coding RNA of Pistacia vera, 430 nucleotides long. RefSeq lists it as uncharacterized. The transcript has 2 exons. NCBI's taxonomy places the organism in Eukaryota, Viridiplantae, Streptophyta, Magnoliopsida, Sapindales, Anacardiaceae. The record is from RefSeq and is a predicted model, not a curated record.